UGAUACUCUUUUUCAUAAUAUCUGUCUGGACAAAAUGGCCAGAGCUGCAUAAACUCAUAAUGUGAUGGGUGAGCAACUGGCUUAUGGGUUGGGCAGAAAGAGCUGUAGUGAGUGAAGUGAAAUAAGACUGUUAACUUGUCCUGCCAUAACCCUGUGCUCUUCAGCAUCUUUGUUAAUGAACUGGAUGCAGGACUCAAAGUUAUGCUAAUUAAGUUUGCUCAUGAUACUAAACUGGGAAGAAUUGCAACUCCUUCAAGGGCAGAGAGAGACCUUGGUGAAUUAGGGAACCGGACAAUCACCAGCUCUCUGGAGUUUUACAAGGACAAGUGCUAGAUUCUGCACCUGGAAUGUGGCAACUCUGAAUGUAUAAACAGACUGAAGAAUAAGAUGAUGCAAAGCAGUGCUACAAAAAGGGAACUGGUAGCAAGGCAGCAGUGCCCUGACAGCCAGGAGAGGCAACCAAGUCCUGGGGGGCAUCAGGCCCAGCAUUGCCAGCUGGGCAAGGGAGGGGAUUGUCCCACUCUGCUCUACAGUGGGGUGGCCUUGCCUUGAAUCCUGGGGGCAGUUUAUGGUGAGAUAGUAUAAGAAGGUUCUAAAGUUAUUAGAAAGUGCCCAAAGAAGAGACAUGAGGAUGAGCAAGGAUCUGGAGAGGAAGCUGUAUGAGGAGUGCCUGAGGUCACUUGAUCUGUUCAGCCUGGAGAAGAGGAAACUGAGAGGAGACCCCAGCACAAUCUUCAACUUCCUUGUGAGGGGAAGAGGAGGUGCAGACACUGAUUUCUUCUCUGUGGCAACUAGUGACAGGACUUGAAGAUCAGCCUGAAACUGAUUCAUUGAUCUGGGAACUGAAGAGACUGGAUAGUAAGUCCUUCAUGACAGUUUGAUCUACACAUUGCUUGCCAUGUAAAACAACCCAACUCUGAUUUAAUUUAUAUACCUUUGAACUAUAUAUGAACUAUAUCCCAAAAGACAAAAUCAAAAAUUUCAGAGAAAAUAUUCUAGAAAGUAUGCAUAAUUUGCCUUUAUGAAGAUUUACCUAAAAUAGAAUUUUGCAGGGUGAGGGGUGCAAAUAAUUUGAAGUCCUACUCUUCCUCCUUUAUGUGUAAAUAUAUACAGAUAUACAUAUAUAUUUAUUUUUUUUUUAAUUUUUCUUUCAAUAUGUGCUCUGGCAGUGUGAGUAGCGUCUUCAUAAAAUGCAGUUCAGAUGGUUGAAAAAGUCUUUUGAGAUAGGAUCAUUGGCAUGAAUGAGUAUUCUUUGAAUAAGGCAAGGCUGUCUCAAAAUGAAUACAUCUAUCUAAUGUCUUUGUAUUCUCCACUUUAUAAAUUGGCUCCCUGAUGAUUUUUUAUGACAAUUUCUGGCUUCAGAAAGCUAUAUAAUCUCUUUCCAUUUAAGGAUCAUAAAACACAUUCAGUGAAGACCCUGCUAUUUACUAAGUUAUAUCUUAUAUUUACUAGGUUAUAUCUUUUGUCAAGUGAGAAUAGUGAAAUCAAUUUAUUUGGCAUCUUAUCUGCAUAGUGCUGUGUCAGCUGUGUACAAAGUAUGAACAAAUUCUGAUGUUGAACCUCAGGGUAUUUGCUUGUCUGAAUUCUCAUUCUGUUGGCCAACAGGAAAUUAUUAGAACUACCCUCAGGAGAUGCAGUUCCCUUAGAGAGUGAAGGUGGCACAGCUUUUCUUUGCAAACCUCACCUCACAGUGCUAAUUUCUGAUUUGACCACCUUUUUUCUCAGUCUUUGUACUACCAUUUAUUUUAUUUCUGAAAGUAGACGUACAACCCAAUAUACUUAUGAAAAUGCAUGUAGCUCUUCAAUAUAGGUUUUAGAUUUAGACUGAGAGACUAAAUAGUUUUUCCUUCUAAGUGACUUGUAUGAAUACUGACAUCAUAAGACCACACAACUAUUGCACCAUUGCAUGCAAUUUAUUACACUGUUAAAAAAAAAAAAAAAGCAAACUAAACCUAACUUGAGAAUGCUUUUCUCUUACUUUUAUUUUCAUUAGAACAGCAAUGGAAUACACCAGACUAGUUAAUUAAGAGAACAAUCGCAGACUUGUAAUGGGGUGGAGAAUGAAGUGGAGCUUGACAUAAAUGACAUUAAAGGGAAGAGGUAGUCAAGAACAGGUCUUUGUUCAGAAACAAUGUAAUUGUCCAUGAGAUGUUUUCUUUGUCUAAGUAUUUGACAGGAGAACUUGCAGAACGUAACUGGCAACCGAUAUUCUCUAAAGUUCCUCAAGUGUGGCAUCUCAGAAGACGUGUUUCAGGAUCUAAAUGUCCAGAUAUAUUUUGGUACACUUAGGCAAGUAAAGCAGGAGAAAGGAAAGGAAAACAGUGUCAUAUUGUAUCUUCUCAUACAUAACCAGUACAGAACAGGCUGUAAAUCUUAUUUAAGUAAAAGCUGGAGCAGCAAGUUGUAGACAUGGGAAGGUACUUUUAAUUUUUUUACUAUUUUGAAACUGUUUUAGGAGAACUUGUUAAAUAAAUUUUCAAGCAGUUUAACCACUCAAUUUUAAUUUAUCUUACAGUUAUUACUAAUUUUAAAGUGAAGUAACUAAAGCUCUAGGAAAACUAAAUAUUUUCCUAAUUAUUUUCUCUUGUUUUAAAAUGCAACUGUCCAAAUUUGGAAAUAUUUUUUGUUUCCAGUUUUUGAUCUGACAAAGAAUCUCAUUAUCGCAACUGCUAUAAUUUGCUUUUUCUCAUUUAGAAAUGUCAGCAAAAUGAAGCAAACAAGGGAAGAAAAUCUACUCUAGUAAUCAGUCUUUUCUUGCUGAAAGAUUCCUUGCGGAUUAAUAGUAAAAGUAUGAAACAUGUCAUGAUGAAAGAUAAAAUGCUUAUUUGAGAAAUCUGCUGGCAAAUUUGUACCUAUGGCCUUUACCAUAGAUAGUAUCACUGAUGAAAAGAGGGAUUCAGACUAGGUGGUGUUUU
Long non-coding RNA from Passer domesticus (house sparrow), 2915 nucleotides. RefSeq lists it as uncharacterized. The record is from RefSeq and is a predicted model, not a curated record. The transcript has 2 exons. Lineage: Eukaryota; Metazoa; Chordata; Aves; Passeriformes; Passeridae.